GUCCACGCCCUAAACGAUGCGAACUAGUCGUUGGAGGAGCAAUCCUUUAGUGACGCAGCUAACGCGUGAAGUUCGCCGCCUGGGGAGUACGGUCGCAAGAUUAAAACUCAAAGGAAUUGACGGGGCCCGCACAAGCGGUGGAUGAUGUGGAUUAAUUCGAUGCAACGCGAAAAACCUUACCUACCCUUGACAUGCCAGGAAGCCCGAUGAGAGUUGGGUGUGCCCGAAAGGGAGCCUGGACACAGGUGCUGCAUGGCUGUCGU
RNAcentral lists this ribosomal RNA (263 nucleotides) under uncultured bacterium. Its description in RNAcentral is "partial 16S ribosomal RNA". It matches the Rfam family "Bacterial small subunit ribosomal RNA", at positions 793 to 1055 of the family's 1533-position model. The record is from RNAcentral.